UCGAGGGGCAGCGAGUAGAUUGCUUGCAAUCUACGUCGGCGACCGGCGCACGGGUGCGUAACGCGUAUGCAACCUACCCAUUACAGGGGGAUAACACUGAGAAAUCGGUACUAAUACCCCAUAACAUCCAGGGAGGCAUCUUCUUGGGUUGAAAACUCCGGUGGUAAUGGAUGGGCAUGCGUUGUAUUAGUUAGUUGGUGGGGUAACGGCUCACCAAGACGACGAUACAUAGGGGGACUGAGAGGUUAACCCCCCACAUUGGUACUGAGACACGGACCAAACUCCUACGGGAGGCAGCAGUGAGGAAUAUUGGUCAAUGGACGCAAGUCUGAACCAGCCAUGCCGCGUGCAGGAAGACGGCUCUAUGAGUUGUAAACUGCUUUUGUACGAGGGUAAACGCAGAUACGUGUAUCUGUCUGAAAGUAUCGUACGAAUAAGGAUCGGCUAACUCCGUGCCAGCAGCCGCGGUAAUACGGAGGAUUCAAGCGUUAUCCGGAUUUAUUGGGUUUAAAGGGUGCGUAGGCGGUCGGAUAAGUUAGAGGUGAAAUCCCGGGGCUCAACUUCGGAAUUGCCUCUGAUACUGUUCGGCUAGAGAGUAGUUGCGGUAGGCGGAAUGUAUGGUGUAGCGGUGAAAUGCUUAGAGAUCAUACAGAACACCGAUUGCGAAGGCAGCUUACCAAGCUACUUCUGACGUUGAGGCACGAAAGCGUGGGGAGCAAACAGGAUUAGAUACCCUGGUAGUCCA
Molecule: ribosomal RNA, 745 nt
Filed under: uncultured bacterium
Lineage: Bacteria
Description: bacterial SSU rRNA
Rfam family: Bacterial small subunit ribosomal RNA
Source: RNAcentral